AUUGAACGCUGGCGGCAGGCUUAACACAUGCAAGUCGAGCGGGGUGAUGGUGCUUGCACUAUCACUUAGCGGCGGACGGGUGAGUAAUGCUUAGGAAUCUGCCUAUUAGUGGGGGACAACAUCUCGAAGGGGAUGCUAAUACCGCAUACGUCCUACGGGAGAAAGCAGGGGAUCACUUGUGACCUUGCGCUAAUAGAUGAGCCUAAGUCGGAUUAGCUAAUUGGUGGGGUUAAGGCCUACCAAGGCGACGAUCUGUAGCGGGUCUGAGAGGAUGAUCCGCCACACUGGGACUGAGACACGGCCCAGACUCCUACGGGAGGCAGCAGUGGGGAAUAUUGGACAAUGGGGGGAACCCUGAUCCAGCCAUGCCGCGUGUGUGAAGAAGGCCUUAUGGUUGUAAAGCACUUUAAGCGAGGAGGAGGCUCUUUUGGUUAAUACCCAAGAUGAGUGGACGUUACUCGCAGAAUAAGCACCGGCUAACUCUGUGCCAGCCGCCGCUGUAA
RNAcentral lists this ribosomal RNA (503 nucleotides) under uncultured bacterium. Its description in RNAcentral is "partial 16S ribosomal RNA". It matches the Rfam family "Bacterial small subunit ribosomal RNA", at positions 30 to 523 of the family's 1533-position model. The record is from RNAcentral.